UUUUAUGGAGAGUUUGAUCCUGGCUCAGAGUGAACGCUGGCGGCGUGCCUAAUACAUGCAAGUCGAACGAUGAAGCUUCUAGCUUGCUAGAGUGCUGAUUAGUGGCGCACGGGUGAGUAACGCAUAGGUCAUGUGCCUCUUAGUUUGGGAUAGCCAUUGGAAACGAUGAUUAAUACCAGAUACUCCCUACGGGGGAAAGAUUUAUCGCUAAGAGAUCAGCCUAUGUCCUAUCAGCUUGUUGGUAAGGUAAUGGCUUACCAAGGCUAUGACGGGUAUCCGGCCUGAGAGGGUGAACGGACACACUGGAACUGAGACACGGUCCAGACUCCUACGGGAGGCAGCAGUAGGGAAUAUUGCUCAAUGGGGGAAACCCUGAAGCAGCAACGCCGCGUGGAGGAUGAAGGUUUUAGGAUUGUAAACUCCUUUUGUUAGAGAAGAUAAUGACGGUAUCUAACGAAUAAGCACCGGCUAACUCCGUGCCAGCAGCCGCGGUAAUACGGAGGGUGCAAGCGUUACUCGGAAUCACUGGGCGUAAAGAGCGCGUAGGCGGGAUAGUCAGUCAGGUGUGAAAUCCUAUGGCUUAACCAUAGAACUGCAUUUGAAACUACUAUUCUAGAGUGUGGGAGAGGUAGGUGGAAUUCUUGGUGUAGGGGUAAAAUCCGUAGAGAUCAAGAGGAAUACUCAUUGCGAAGGCGACCUGCUGGAACAUUACUGACGCUGAUUGCGCGAAAGCGUGGGGAGCAAACAGGAUUAGAUACCCUGGUAGUCCACGCCCUAAACGAUGGAUGCUAGUUGUUGGAGGGCUUAGUCUCUCCAGUAAUGCAGCUAACGCAUUAAGCAUCCCGCCUGGGGAGUACGGUCGCAAGAUUAAAACUCAAAGGAAUAGACGGGGACCCGCACAAGCGGUGGAGCAUGUGGUUUAAUUCGAAGAUACACGAAGAACCUUACCUAGGCUUGACAUUGAGAGAAUCCGCUAGAAAUAGUGGAGUGUCUGGCUUGCUAGACCUUGAAAACAGGUGCUGCACGGCUGUCGUCAGCUCGUGUCGUGAGAUGUUGGGUUAAGUCCCGCAACGAGCGCAACCCCCUUUCUUAGUUGCUAACAGGUCAUGCUGAGAACUCUAAGGAUACUGCCUCCGUAAGGAGGAGGAAGGUGGGGACGACGUCAAGUCAUCAUGGCCCUUACGCCUAGGGCUACACACGUGCUACAAUGGGGUGCACAAAGAGAAGCAAUACUGCGAAGUGGAGCCAAUCUUCAAAACGCCUCUCAGUUCGGAUUGUAGGCUGCAACUCGCCUGCAUGAAGCUGGAAUCGCUAGUAAUCGCAAAUCAGCCAUGUUGCGGUGAAUACGUUCCCGGGUCUUGUACUCACCGCCCGUCACACCAUGGGAGUUGUGUUUGCCUUAAGUCAGGAUGCUAAAUUAGCUACUGCCCACGGCACACACAGCGACUGGGGUGAAGUCGUAACAAGGUAACCGUAGGUGAACCUGCGGUUGGAUCACCUCCUUUCUAGA
RNAcentral lists this ribosomal RNA (1510 nucleotides) under Helicobacter pylori. Its description in RNAcentral is "bacterial SSU rRNA". It matches the Rfam family "Bacterial small subunit ribosomal RNA". Lineage: Bacteria; Pseudomonadati; Campylobacterota; Epsilonproteobacteria; Campylobacterales; Helicobacteraceae. The record is from RNAcentral.